Long non-coding RNA from Paramacrobiotus metropolitanus, 1417 nucleotides. RefSeq lists it as uncharacterized. The record is from RefSeq and is a predicted model, not a curated record. NCBI's taxonomy places the organism in Eukaryota, Metazoa, Tardigrada, Eutardigrada, Parachela, Macrobiotidae. The transcript is spliced from 3 exons.
AUUUGGUCAUCUACGUCAUAUUAAUUCUCAAUGGAUUUCGUGUGAGCAUUCCCAACGCCACCAUGGGAUACUAAUGCGAAUGGCACUUGUGUGAUGUAUGCCCAAUCAGGGAGAGUUUCGCUAACAGGUUUCCUCACAUUAUCGUAUGCAGAUCGUUCCAGGCGAGCGGAGAAACGACUGAAAGACGAUGUGCUGCCGUGUGUUUUUAAAGGUAUUCCCGAUGCCAUGGGUCCGCAGACAGAUGCUGUGCAAGCAAGCAGACAGCCCAAAAAUAUCCUCUCAUUGCAGUGAGAUCUUAUUUAGAAAGCUGAACGGUGCAUUUUGCUAUCCAGCAUAAUUUUCCCUUCCCUGAACCAUUUAUUUGGUUAGCUCCGCAAAUACCCGUUCCGAGAAGAAAUCCAGUCAUAUCUACCUAUCCCCCCAUUUAUCCUCAUCAGUUUAUUAUCCAUAGUUCCUGUCGUACGAAGCCUUACACGAAGCCUUCCUGUCGUGCGAAUCCUUAGUCGUACGAAGUCGUACGAAGCCUUUCCGUCUUCCGAUUAACGCACUACACUUUUCCACAGUUUCCUUGAUUUUUUUACGAGAUCCAAUAGUUGAGUUGGUCAUAUCCAGAACGACCGCGAUGCAACUGUCCUCUACUACUCCUUCAGUCCCUUCCGUUUCGCAACACGUUGUACUAGCUGGAGAUAAUUUACUGGAAAUUAAUACGUUCGAUCCCAAUACCCUAAGCGUGCAAGAUUAUAUCAAUGAGCAAGUUAAACUGUCUGAUACGCAAUGAAAGGAAGAUGCGUUUUAUAUCGUCAAUCUGGGAGAUGUCGUCAGCAAGCACCGUAUCUGGAAAGAAAAGCUGUCCCGUGUUGAACCGUUCUAUGCUGUAAAAUGCAAUGAUGACAUCGGAGUAUUGCAAACUUUGGCCAGCUUCCGAACCAGAUUCGAUUGUGCCAGCAAAAAUGAAAUCAACAAAGAGCUGUCGCUGGGCGUUCAUCCCAACGGGAUCAUAAUUGCUCACCCGUGCAAGACAUCCUCGCACAUCAAGUUUGCGGCUGAACACGUCAACACGAUACCCGCAUGACCACUUUUGACAACGAGCCCGAACUGCACGAGCCCAAACGAUCAAACGUCUCCAUCCUGGAUGCAAGCUGCUGGUCCGUAUUCGUACCGAUGGCCCGCUGGCUGUGUGCAAUCUGGGGAUCAAGUUCGGAGCCAGACUGCAGGAAGCCAAGCGCUUACUGGGUGUAACCAAGGAUCUGGAAUUUAGUGUAAUCGGGGUCAGCUUCCAUGUCGGCAGUGGAUGCACCAACGUGGAUGCCUACGCCAAGGCCAUUAUGUGGGUUUGCGAAUUGUUCGAUCACACUAAGGAAACUGGAACGCCAUUGACGAUGCUGGAUCUGGGUGGUGGAUAUCACGGACAAGUUGG